Long non-coding RNA from Gasterosteus aculeatus aculeatus (three-spined stickleback), 923 nucleotides. Lineage: Eukaryota; Metazoa; Chordata; Actinopteri; Perciformes; Gasterosteidae. The record is from Ensembl.
CACACACACACACACACACACACACACACAGUCACAGGAAAACAUGCAGACAAUAACCUUUCCAACAAUGAGUCAGAUGUGCUACUCAGGGCGUUAAGUCCUCAUUGGGAUUACGGUUAUAGGUGCAUUCUUUGUGGAUUUGUUUUUAAUUUUUUUUGUAUUCACAUGCACCUUUGUUGUUUUAAUGCUCGGAGAGAUUUUGUGGCGUUAACAGGAGCUGAUUCAGGUUGUAAAUACGGGAUCCACCUGUAUGAGCUUCCCACUGAACUCUCGAGGCCUCCAGCACGCACACAUCAACGUGCAACGUGCACUUGUGGAAUGAGACGCCGCGUGCAGAUAUUAGGGUUCCUGUGUGAUGGCGCCUGCAGGCGGGAUUAGGCCCUUCAUCCGCUGCUCCGCCUCCUCGGCCCCCUUCUCUUUCCUGAGGCGUAAAAGAUUCAGGGAGAAAAACCACACCGUGGCACAGGAGGGAAACUAAUCUGCAUGGUGGCGUCGAUGUAAGAGGAACGAAGUGGCUCAUAUCCCAAAACAUUCCGGAAUCAGGAACAUUUAUUGCCAAGAUAUGUUAGACAAACCAUGCCGUGAGAACAAAUCAUUGAGAUAUUGGUUCUUCAUCUGUGGCCUUCUUCUUUUUUUCACAUUUCUCACACACGUUCCUGGUGGGAUAAUUGUUUUUUUCGACACUCCGAUUCAAGAUGCGCCGCCGAAAUGUGUGUCUGUAUUUGCGUCUUAUGGUGAACCCGUGGUAAUAAUCCUGCAUCCUGUCGGGGGUCAAGGACUCCGCCGGCCUCUGCUCGGGCCCCUGCAACAGAGGGACGCUUGUGAAACACGAGGGGCCCGGCGGGGAAGAUCACAGCCACGGCCGCCGGCCUGGGAAUGCUGUCGCUCUGCAUCAGAGCCGCGUGAGAGAGAGAGAGAGAGAG